GACGAACGCUGGCGGCGUGCUUAACACAUGCAAGUCGAACGGGCCUUGUCCCCUUUUUUUUUGGGGGUGGGGUUAGUGGCGAACGGGUGAGUAACACGUGAGUAACCUGCCCCUCACUUCUGGAUAACCGCUUGAAAGGGUGGCUAAUACGGGGUGUUCUGGCCUGCUCGCAUGGGUGGGUUUGGAAAGAUUCGACCGGUUUUGGUUGUUUUGGUGGGGGAUGGGCUCGCGGCCUAUCAGCUUGUUGGUGGGGUGAUGGCCUGCCAAGGCUUUGACGGGUGCCAGGCGUAGGAGGGUGGGCGGUCACACGGGGACUGAGACCCGGCCAGACUCCUACGGGAGGCAGCAGUGGGGAAUAUUGCACAAUGGGCGCAAGCCUGAUGCAGCGACGCCGCGUGAGGGAUGGAGGCCUUCGGGUUGUGAACCUCUUUCGCCAGUGAAGAAGGUCCUGCUCUUUGUGGUGGGGUUGACGGUAGCUGGGUUAAUGAAGCGCCGGCUAACUACGUG
RNAcentral lists this ribosomal RNA (507 nucleotides) under uncultured bacterium. Its description in RNAcentral is "partial 16S ribosomal RNA". It matches the Rfam family "Bacterial small subunit ribosomal RNA", at positions 28 to 507 of the family's 1533-position model. The record is from RNAcentral.